Molecule: transfer RNA, 83 nt
Filed under: Rhipicephalus sanguineus (brown dog tick)
Lineage: Eukaryota; Metazoa; Arthropoda; Arachnida; Ixodida; Ixodidae
Description: transfer RNA leucine (anticodon CAG)
Rfam family: tRNA
About the family: Transfer RNA (tRNA) molecules are approximately 80 nucleotides in length. Their secondary structure includes four short double-helical elements and three loops (D, anti-codon, and T loops).
Source: Rfam by way of RNAcentral
GUCAGGAUGGCCGAGCGGUCCAAGGCGCUGCGUUCAGGUCGCAGUCCGGUCUUCCGGCGUGGGUUCGAAUCCCACUUCUGACA